Molecule: transfer RNA, 66 nt
Filed under: Marmota monax (woodchuck)
Lineage: Eukaryota; Metazoa; Chordata; Mammalia; Rodentia; Sciuridae
Description: tRNA.Undet
Source: RNAcentral
GGUUAUGGCUCAGUGGUAGAGCUCUUUCCUUGCACAUUGAGGCCCUGGGUUCGAUCCUCAGCACCA